Molecule: ribosomal RNA, 253 nt
Filed under: uncultured Alphaproteobacteria bacterium
Lineage: Bacteria; Pseudomonadati; Pseudomonadota; Alphaproteobacteria
Description: partial 16S ribosomal RNA
Rfam family: Bacterial small subunit ribosomal RNA
Source: RNAcentral
UACGAAGGGGGCUAGCGUUGUUCGGAUUUACUGGGCGUAAAGCGCGCGUAGGCGGAUAUUUAAGUCGGGGGUGAAAUCCCGGGGCUCAACCCCGGAAUGGCCUUCGAUACUGGAUGUCUGGAGAUCGGGAGAGGUUGGUGGAAUUCCGAGUGUAGAGGUGAAAUUCGUAGAUAUUCGGAGGAACACCAGAAGCGAAGGCGGCCAACUGGCCCGAUACUGACGCUGAGGCGCGAAAGCGUGGGGAGCAAACAGG